UACGUAGGGAGCGAGCGUUGUCCGGAAUUACUGGGCGUAAAGGGUGCGUAGGCGGUUUACUAAGUCAGAUGUGAAAUACCCGUGCUUAACAUGGGGGGUGCAUCUGAUACUGGUAGACUUGAGUAUAGGAGAGGAAAGUGGAAUUCCUAGUGUAGCGGUGGAAUGCGUAGAUAUUAGGAGGAACACCAGUGGCGAAGGCGGCUUUCUGGACUAUAACUGACGCUGAGGCACGAAAGCGUGGGGAG
RNAcentral lists this ribosomal RNA (245 nucleotides) under uncultured Eubacteriales bacterium. Its description in RNAcentral is "uncultured Clostridiales bacterium partial 16S ribosomal RNA". It matches the Rfam family "Bacterial small subunit ribosomal RNA", at positions 524 to 768 of the family's 1533-position model. The record is from RNAcentral. Lineage: Bacteria; Bacillati; Bacillota; Clostridia; Eubacteriales.